CAAUAGCGUAUAUUAACGUUGUUGCAGUUAAAAAGCUCGUAGUUGGAUUUCUGGAGGGAGCGUCGGCCCGUAUUUACGAGUGCGUGACGUCUCUGUCCAUCCUUGCGGGAAGGCACGGCAUUGAUUUGUUGUGUCGGAUCGCAUCAUUUACUGUGAAAAAAUUAGAGCGUUCAAAGCAGGCUUUCGCUUGAAUACAUUAGCAUGGAAUAAUAAGAUAGGACUUUGGUGCUAUUUUGUUGGUUGAGCCUAAAGUAAUGAUUAAUAGGGAUAGUUGGGGGCACCUGUAUUGCGUUGUCAGAGGUGAAAUUCUUGGAUUUACGCAAGACAAACAGCUGCGAAAGCGUCUGCCAAGGAUGUUUUCAUUA
Molecule: ribosomal RNA, 365 nt
Filed under: uncultured eukaryote
Lineage: Eukaryota
Description: partial 18S ribosomal RNA
Rfam family: Eukaryotic small subunit ribosomal RNA
Source: RNAcentral